Molecule: microRNA precursor, 82 nt
Filed under: Phaseolus vulgaris (common bean)
Lineage: Eukaryota; Viridiplantae; Streptophyta; Magnoliopsida; Fabales; Fabaceae
Source: RNAcentral
AUAGUAAAUAUGAGCCAAGGAUGACUUGCCGGUUGUGUAACAACAAUCGGCUAAAGUCCUUUUUGGCUCUUAUUUACUAUUU